UUUAUAUCACAAGUUUGCAGUUUCAGCAGGGAUUACAAUAAAUAAGUAUUUAUUAUUGUUUAGGGAUGGCAAGAUUUUGUGAACCAGAGGCACCUCCACAUAUGCACCUGCGGCACUUCUGCAGCCUCAACAGCACGGAAAAGUACCUGAUGUGCAUGCUGUGACAAGCUGCUGUAGGUAUGGCUGGACCUGGAGAAGAAGUGUAAGCAGACCAUGCUAUGUUGCUGAUCUGCGCUGAUCUCCACAUCCAAGUUGGUCCCGCGACAGUUGGGCACCAUUGUGCCUUGCUUCAUUGACAAGGUGAUAUAAUAUGGUGCCCUGCUCGCUCUCACCCAAGCAACCCACUCCAGCGGUCUUCUCUCGGCAGACUGGAUGCAUCGAAAUACCGUUAGAAGGUCCAAUAAACAGUGCUUGGGACAUUUA
Long non-coding RNA from Dermacentor andersoni, 423 nucleotides. RefSeq lists it as uncharacterized. Lineage: Eukaryota; Metazoa; Arthropoda; Arachnida; Ixodida; Ixodidae. The record is from RefSeq and is a predicted model, not a curated record.